Molecule: ribosomal RNA, 2210 nt
Filed under: Acinetobacter pittii
Lineage: Bacteria; Pseudomonadati; Pseudomonadota; Gammaproteobacteria; Moraxellales; Moraxellaceae
Description: bacterial LSU rRNA
Rfam family: Bacterial large subunit ribosomal RNA
Source: RNAcentral
UUGGGUAACACUAACUGGAGGACCGAACCCACUGUCGUUGAAAAGCCAGGGGAUGACUUGUGGAUAGGGGUGAAAGGCUAAUCAAGCCUGGUGAUAGCUGGUUCUCCCCGAAAGCUAUUUAGGUAGCGCCUCGGACGAAUACCAUAGGGGGUAGAGCACUGUUUCGGCUAGGGGGUCAUCCCGACUUACCAAACCGAUGCAAACUCCGAAUACCUAUGAGUACUAUCCGGGAGACAGACUGCGGGUGCUAACGUCCGUAGUCAAGAGGAAAACAAUCCAGACCGCCAGCUAAGGCCCCAAAAUCAUAGUUAAGUGGGAAACGAUGUGGGAAGGCAUAGACAGCUAGGAGGUUGGCUUAGAAGCAGCCACCCUUUAAAGAAAGCGUAAUAGCUCACUAGUCGAGUCGGCCUGCGCGGAAGAUGUAACGGGGCUAAAACUAUGUGCCGAAGCUGCGGAUUUGACAUUAGUCAAGUGGUAGGGGAGCGUUCUGUAAGCCGAUGAAGGUGUAUUGAGAAGUAUGCUGGAGGUAUCAGAAGUGCGAAUGCUGACGUGAGUAACGACAAAACGGGUGAAAAACCCGUUCGCCGAAAGACCAAGGGUUCCAGUCCAACGUUAAUCGGGGCUGGGUGAGUCGACCCCUAAGGCGAGGCCGAAAGGCGUAGUCGAUGGGAAAUUGGUUAAUAUUCCAAUACUUCUGUGUAAUGCGAUGAGAGGACGGAGAAGGUUAAGUCAGCCUGGCGUUGGUUGUCCAGGUGGAAGGAUGUAGGUAUGUAUCUUAGGCAAAUCCGGGGUACUCUAUACUGAGAUCCGAUAGCAAGCUGUACUUGUACAGUGAAGUGGCUGAUACCAUGCUUCCAGGAAAAGUCUCUAAGCUUCAGUUACACAGGAAUCGUACCCGAAACCGACACAGGUGGUCAGGUCGAGUAGACCAAGGCGCUUGAGAGAACUCUGCUGAAGGAACUAGGCAAAAUGGUACCGUAACUUCGGGAGAAGGUACGCUGUUGUUGGUGAUGGAACUUGCUUCCUGAGCUGACGACAGCCGCAGAAACCAGGCCGCUGCAACUGUUUAUUAAAAACAUAGCACUCUGCAAACACGAAAGUGGACGUAUAGGGUGUGAUGCCUGCCCGGUGCUGGAAGGUUAAUUGAUGGGGUUAGCGUAAGCGAAGCUCUUGAUCGAAGCCCCAGUAAACGGCGGCCGUAACUAUAACGGUCCUAAGGUAGCGAAAUUCCUUGUCGGGUAAGUUCCGACCUGCACGAAUGGCAUAAUGAUGGCGGCGCUGUCUCCAGCAGAGGCUCAGUGAAAUCGAAAUCGCUGUGAAGAUGCAGUGUACCCGCGGCUAGACGGAAAGACCCCGUGAACCUUUACUGCAGCUUGACACUGAACUUUGACCUUACUUGUGUAGGAUAGGUGGGAGGCUUUGAAGUUGGAACGCUAGUUCCAAUGGAGCCGUCCUUGAAAUACCACCCUGGUAAUGUUGAGGUUCUAACUCUGUCCCGUUAUCCGGGACGAGGACCGUGUCUGGUGGGUAGUUUGACUGGGGCGGUCUCCUCCUAAAGAGUAACGGAGGAGUACGAAGGUGCGCUCAGCGUGGUCGGAAAUCACGCGUAGAGUAUAAAGGCAAAAGCGCGCUUAACUGCGAGACCCACAAGUCGAGCAGGUACGAAAGUAGGUCUUAGUGAUCCGGUGGUUCUGUAUGGAAGGGCCAUCGCUCAACGGAUAAAAGGUACUCUGGGGAUAACAGGCUGAUACCGCCCAAGAGUUCAUAUCGACGGCGGUGUUUGGCACCUCGAUGUCGGCUCAUCUCAUCCUGGGGCUGAAGCAGGUCCCAAGGGUAUGGCUGUUCGCCAUUUAAAGAGGUACGCGAGCUGGGUUUAGAACGUCGUGAGACAGUUCGGUCCCUAUCUACCGUGGGCGCUGGAAAUUUGAGAGGAUCUGCUCCUAGUACGAGAGGACCAGAGUGGACGAACCUCUGGUGUACCGGUUGUGACGCCAGUCGCAUCGCCGGGUAGCUAUGUUCGGAAGGGAUAACCGCUGAAAGCAUCUAAGCGGGAAGCCUACCUCAAGAUAAGAUUUCCCUAGGAAUUUAUUCCUCUAAAGAGCCGUUCGAGACUAGGACGUUGAUAGGUUGGAUGUGGAAGCAUAGUGAUAUGUGAAGCUGACCAAUACUAAUUGCUCGUGAGGCUUGACUAUACAACACCCAAGCAGUUG